UACGUAGGGUGCGAGCGUUGUCCGGAAUUAUUGGGCGUAAAGGGCGCGUAGGCGGCUUGGCAAGUGGAAGGUGAAAUCCCUCGGCUCAACUGAGGAACUGCCUUCCAGACUGCUUUGCUUGAGUCCGGGAGAGGUGAGUGGAAUUCCCAGUGUAGCGGUGAAAUGCGUAGAUAUUGGGAGGAACACCAGUGGCGAAGGCGGCUCACUGGACCGGAACUGACGCUGAGGCGCGAAAGCGUGGGGAGCAAACGGG
This 253-nucleotide ribosomal RNA is filed under the name uncultured bacterium. RNAcentral's name for it is "partial 16S ribosomal RNA". It matches the Rfam family "Bacterial small subunit ribosomal RNA", at positions 524 to 776 of the family's 1533-position model. The record is from RNAcentral.